GCUUUAGCCAUCUCUCUGACCUCAGUGCUGCUGGACUCAGUUCCAAGAUCUAACUGUCAAAUGCUUUAGGGGAAACGGGAAGAGAAGUCCCUGGAGUAACCCAUGUGCGCAGCCUGGCACUGUUUUCACUUGCCUUUGGAAAUGAAGGUGCAGAAACCAUGGGAGGAACCUGAUGAAAUGCCUGGUCUAACAGGAGGAUGCAGAGAAAGUUAUGAAGAGAGGAUCCUGAGGAAUUUGCUCCUGGGCCAUGAAGAUGGGAAGCUGAGUCAGAGUGCAGUUCUUCACCCAAUCCCACAGCCACACGUGCCUGCUUGCUCACGGGAUCUUCCCACUCUCCUCGGGAAGGCUUCCGAGCUGCUUCCUCAGGAUGUCCUGUGAUAGCAGCCUGACCUGUCAAAGCCAUGCGAAUACCAUCUGUUCAGUUAUAUAACUUGAGAUCUGGGAAGAAUUCUCAACGUAGGAUUUGCUGCCCAAAUCAAAUCAUUUUCAGAAAGGAGAUUAAGCAUUCUUUGCUGGGAAAAGGAGAAAUUACCAGAAAAAAUUAUCAUUUCACUGAGUAUAAACAAACCUUUGUCCAAAAUACACAAAUGAAAAUGACAAAUUUGCUUCAUUAAUAUUUGCUUGCAUUAAAAAUAUACACAGGGCUAUGUAUGGUUCAAUAUCUUAAGUGCAAAGUAAAAUCUUAAUUAGGAACAAUGGAAUUGUUAAUUUAAUGAAUCUUAAUUUUGUUUAGAUCAUUAGCCUGCAGUAUAAUGUCCCAAGCAGAAUUUGGGGUGGGGAGCUUGGUGGUGGAAGAGGAAGUGCUCAUUUCUACAGACAUGACAAGAUUAUUAACACUAAAGAAUGACUUUUCUUUCAUGGGAGGGGAAGAUAUCUGACCCACCAGCAGUCAGACAGAAACCCUGACUUGUGAUUUUAACAUUACCUUAUAUGACCCAUGGUCACCUUGUAUGACCAAAGAAAACCAUUUAUGAAAUAGCUGUCCGGAGUUCAAGAUUUAAAUGGUAACUUUGUAGACUAGGUUUUCUCUCAUCAUCUAAUUUACUUGCCUUAACGCUUGUUUCUUUGCCCUUAUUCCUACUGGCUCUCGAGUAUAAUAUCCUGAGAAUUUAUGUUGAACAGCACUAAUUUUUUCACUUGGAGCUAGCACAUGUUUAUGACUAGUACAAGUUUAUAACUACAAAAAACAGAGAUUUUGUCAUCUUAAACUGAAUUUACUGGGAAUAAAAUCAGUCAAUUCAGAAAAGUAUAACAAAGGAAAUAAAAAUCACCACAACUCCUACUACCUGAAGAUUAAAUGGUUAAAGUGUUU
Molecule: long non-coding RNA, 1312 nt
Filed under: Homo sapiens (human)
Lineage: Eukaryota; Metazoa; Chordata; Mammalia; Primates; Hominidae
Description: non-protein coding lnc-PRKCH-3:2
Source: RNAcentral